ACCGACCUAUACUUUUAAUAAAAGAAAAAUGGUGGCAGACAACUUUCUGGUUUUAGGCAGUAAAGAUCGGAGCCUUGUCUCUUUCAUGAUUAUGCAUGAUUGACGAGAGCUAGCAAACAGACUAUCAUCUCUCUCUCACUCACUCUGUUUCACUCCGAAAAACAGAGCAAUAGUUCUCCAGCCUUGUUCUUCCUCCAUCAACCACCUCCAGACGUCGGACCACUCCCUUUGGCUUCUCCUGAGGCUGCUCUACCUACUGGACGUCGUCUUUUCCUCCGGCACGACCUCAAGGUCCGGCAAACCAGCUCGAACCCGGUUGCACCCGAAACCGAACUAACUCAUCCUCCUCGUGUUUCCGGCCACCAAUCCUCACCAAACUUCAUCCUUGAGCUCACCUCAACCUCCAGAAGCUCUCAAAAGUGUCCCUUCACGGUGGCGCUGUGCGUGGUGGCGGUUGGAAGCCAGACCCGAUCAAAAAUCGAAACCGAGCUUUCGACCCGGAUACCUCAAGCUAUAGACCACCAAUUCUUGUGAUUCUUGACCUGAAAGGAUAGCCUUGAGUUUCUGAACAAAUAUCCAGAAGGAAUCGAAGCGAUUUGUGGAAGUUUUUACGUAGAUCGGAGCACCUGCCGGAUUCUGGAAUUUUUCCGGCCACCGAAACUUUCGAUCAAGAUAUCUCGAGCUAUAGAGCUUAGUUUUGAGUGAUUCUUGAACCAGUGAGUUCGUCUUUAAGUUCUGAACAAGUCUCCUGAAGGAAUCGAAGCGAAAGGAGGACAUUUUUACGUUGAUCGGAGCUUCGCCGGUUUCUGCAAAUUCUCACCGGUUUCUGGAAAAAAAUUCCGGCCACCUCGACUGUUUUAGGUGAUUGACGGUCUUCCUUGGGUGAGCGGUUUCGGUGUGUAUUGUGUUGAAUUGAAGACGCAGCGGGAAUAUCGAGCGGGUAAUCCUGCAGGUCAGGAGAAUCAGGGCGGUGAUCGAGCGGGUUAGAGUAUUUGUUAUAGUUUUACAGCAUUUGUAAUAGUGAGGUGAGUUAAGCUCAUUGAGCCUUACAAUUUGAUUUGGUGAGAGUGUGUUGUAAUAAAUAACUUGAGGAUUUGAUUUAUUGUAAUAUUGAGAGGUGUGAAGUGUGGUUGUUUGUGAGAAAAAAAUUCAGGACGUUAAUUGUAAUUGUUAUUAUUCAUGUUUCGGAUUUGAAUUGAUUAUUCAAAAUUCGGGGCGUGACAGUUUGGUAUCAGAGCGU
Long non-coding RNA from Rosa rugosa (rugosa rose), 1240 nucleotides. RefSeq lists it as uncharacterized. The transcript is spliced from 3 exons. NCBI's taxonomy places the organism in Eukaryota, Viridiplantae, Streptophyta, Magnoliopsida, Rosales, Rosaceae. The record is from RefSeq and is a predicted model, not a curated record.